This is a long non-coding RNA of Hippoglossus stenolepis (Pacific halibut), 353 nucleotides long. RefSeq lists it as uncharacterized. The record is from RefSeq and is a predicted model, not a curated record. NCBI's taxonomy places the organism in Eukaryota, Metazoa, Chordata, Actinopteri, Pleuronectiformes, Pleuronectidae. The transcript is spliced from 3 exons.
GUAAACAUGGUCGAGCGUGUUCGCUCCGCGCAUAGGACAGCUGAUGUGUCCUACGGACAUUUGGUUAAAUUUAUAGAGGAUCCAAGUGAAGCUGCAGGAGUUUCAGCAACGUCAAAAACUGGGACCGAACAGUUUGUUUUGCUUGAUGAGGAACAGGAAGGGCAGCCUCUCCCAAAAAGGAGACCUGGAGAGAAACAGAAGCCGAGUUUAGGCCACUGCCACCAUCCACAUACAUCGAGGAAGAUGAGGGAGAGAAAUUCUCCUACCCUUAAAGAGAAUGGUUGUUUUUUUGACCAAGCAUGCUUCCCUGCUGUGAUUGUUCAACUGGGAAAACAACUUUUUCCACAGGAAGG